CCAUUUGUAACGGUGUGUCCUGUGGCUUUGUUCAGAGAUCCCAGUAAGAGUCUUGGUUGUUGGUUGUCUUCUUGGUCCCAGUAGACCAGGACAGGUCAAAAAAGAAAGCCACAAGAGUCUUUGUAAAGGCAAUAGCUAAACACAUUACAGGCAUACCUGUCUGGUAAAGAAGCUGAAGAGGUAAAGAAAGAGGGGAUGAUACCUCCUGGAAGAAAAGAGCUGCAGUCAGAUGGAAGAGUUGCUGAGAGACCCCUAUCAAAUUUGGCAACUGAGUCCCCUGUGGCAGUGAAGAAGCGGAUGUGACUGAG
Non-coding RNA from Pelobates cultripes (western spadefoot toad), 308 nucleotides. Lineage: Eukaryota; Metazoa; Chordata; Amphibia; Anura; Pelobatidae. The record is from the annotation of a GenBank genome assembly.